CCUACGGGAGGCUGCAGUGAGGAAUAUUGCUCAAUGGGCGCGAGCCUGAACCAGCCAAGUCGCGUGAAGGAUGACUGCCCUACGGGUUGUAAACUUCUUUUAUAAAGGAAUAAAGUGAGGCACGUGUGCCUUUUUGUAUGUACUUUAUGAAUAAGGAUCGGGUAACUCAGUUCCAGCAGCCGCGCUACUACGGUGGAUCGGAGCGUUAUCCGGAUUUAUUGGGUUUAAAGGGAGCGUAGAUGGGGUGUUAAGUCAGUUGUGAAAGUUUGCGGCUCAACCGUAAAAUUGCAAUUGAUACUGGCAGUCUUGGGUACAGUGGAGGUAGGCGGAAUUCGGGGUGUAGCGGUGAAAUGCUUAGAUAUCACGAAGAACGCCGAUUGCGAAGGCAGCUUACUAAACUGCCACUGACAUUGAUGCUCGAAAGUGUGGGUAUCAAACAGGAUUAGAUACCCCUUAGUC
This 459-nucleotide ribosomal RNA is filed under the name uncultured bacterium. RNAcentral describes it as "partial 16S ribosomal RNA". It matches the Rfam family "Bacterial small subunit ribosomal RNA", at positions 338 to 795 of the family's 1533-position model. The record is from RNAcentral.